This 253-nucleotide ribosomal RNA is filed under the name uncultured bacterium. Its description in RNAcentral is "partial 16S ribosomal RNA". It matches the Rfam family "Bacterial small subunit ribosomal RNA", at positions 524 to 776 of the family's 1533-position model. The record is from RNAcentral.
UACGUAGGUGGCAAGCGUUGUCCGGAUUUACUGGGCGUAAAGAGCGCGCAGGCGGUCGUUCAAGUCGCGUGUGAAAGCCCCCGGCUCAACUGGGGAGGGUCACGCGAUACUGAUCGACUCGAAGGCAGGAGAGGGAAGUGGAAUUCCCGGUGUAGUGGUGAAAUGCGUAGAUAUCUGGAGGAAUACCGGUGGCGAAGGCGGCAUCCUGGACAAUUACUGACGCUGAGGCGCGAAAGCUAGGGGAGCAAACGGG